Molecule: long non-coding RNA, 322 nt
Organism: Bradysia coprophila
Lineage: Eukaryota; Metazoa; Arthropoda; Insecta; Diptera; Sciaridae
Source: RefSeq, a predicted model, not a curated record
AUUAAAAUUAUUUCUAUUUCUGUUAAAAAGAAUUAUUUUAUGACAAAACAAUUGUUAAACUGUUUUGAAACACAAAAACAAUUACAAUAUAGAAUUACAUACCAUUUCAGCUUGAAUUGAACAACAAAAAGACUUUCGUGUUUACAGAAGAAAUUUCUAUGUUUUUAAAUUUUCGCGCACAAAAGGACCACCAGUUGAAAAAUAUUAACAUAACAAAAAUAAAAUUCUGAUCAAUGAAAUUUCGAAAAUCGAGUAGGCAGCUGUUCCCCGUUGAGUGUUGGCCGAAGUGUAUGGAGGCUGUUUAUGGAGAUGUCGUCAUUUA